GUCUACGGCCAUACCACCCUGAACGCGCACCAUCUCGUCUGAUCUCGGAAGCUAAGCAGGGUCGGGCCUGGUUAGUACUUGGAUGGGAGGAAAGGAAGCGUGGUAGUUU
This is a ribosomal RNA of Bison bison bison, 109 nucleotides long. Lineage: Eukaryota; Metazoa; Chordata; Mammalia; Artiodactyla; Bovidae. The record is from Ensembl.